Molecule: transfer RNA, 76 nt
Filed under: Arenicellales bacterium
Lineage: Bacteria; Pseudomonadati; Pseudomonadota; Gammaproteobacteria; Arenicellales
Description: tRNA-Val
Rfam family: tRNA
About the family: Transfer RNA (tRNA) molecules are approximately 80 nucleotides in length. Their secondary structure includes four short double-helical elements and three loops (D, anti-codon, and T loops).
Source: RNAcentral
GGGUGCUUAGCUCAGUUGGGAGAGCGUCGCCCUUACAAGGCGAAGGUCGCAGGUUCGAACCCUGCAGCACCCACCA